RNAcentral lists this ribosomal RNA (427 nucleotides) under uncultured bacterium. RNAcentral's name for it is "bacterial SSU rRNA". It matches the Rfam family "Bacterial small subunit ribosomal RNA", at positions 355 to 796 of the family's 1533-position model. The record is from RNAcentral.
UCGAGAAUCUUCCGCAAUGGGCGAAAGCCUGACGGAGCGACGCCGCGUGCAGGAUGAAGGGCUUCGGCCUGUAAACUGCUUUUGUCGGGGAGAAAGUUAUUGAUAGUACCCGAAGAAUAAGGGGUUGCUAAACUCGUGCCAGCAGCAGCGGUAAUACGAGUGCCCCAAGCGUUAUCCGGAAUCAUUGGGCGUAAAGGGUGUGUAGGUUGUCUUGUUAGUCUUCUGUUAAAUUCUUCGGCUCAACCGGGGGUCUUCAGAAGAAACGGCAAGACUAGAGGAUGUGAGAGGUGAAUGGAACUCAUGGUGUAGGGGUGAAAUCCGUUGAUAUCAUGGGGAACACCAAAAGCGAAGGCAAUUCACUGGCGCAUUCCUGACACUGAAACACGAAAGCGUGGGUAGCGAAUGGGAUUAGAUACCCCCGUAGUCC